GCGAGUAUAGCUCAUUUGGUAGAGCGUUGGUCUUCCAAACCGAAGGUAGCGGGUUCGAACCCCGCUACUCGCU
The sequence is a transfer RNA, 73 nucleotides long. It matches the Rfam family "tRNA". Rfam says of the family: Transfer RNA (tRNA) molecules are approximately 80 nucleotides in length.